RNAcentral lists this ribosomal RNA (492 nucleotides) under uncultured bacterium. Its description in RNAcentral is "partial 16S ribosomal RNA". It matches the Rfam family "Bacterial small subunit ribosomal RNA", at positions 29 to 507 of the family's 1533-position model. The record is from RNAcentral.
AGUGAACGCUGGCGGUAGGCCUAACACAUGCCAGUCGAACGGCAGCACAGUAAGAGCUUGCUCUUACGGGUGGCGAGUGGCGGACGGGUGAGGAAUACAUCGGAAUCUACUUUUUCGUGGGGGAUAACGUAGGGAAACUUACGCUAAUGCCGCAUACGACCUACGGGUGAAAGCAGGGGAUCUUCGGACCUUGCGCGAUUGAAUGAGCCGCUGUCGGAUUAGCUAGUUGGCGGGGUAAAGGCCCACCAGGGCGACGAUCCGUAGCUGGUCUGAGAGGAUGAUCGGCCACACUGGAACUGAGACACGGUCCAGACUCCUGCGGGAGGCAGCAGUGGGGAAUAUUGGACAAUGGGCGCAAGCCUGAUCCAGCGAUACCGCGUGUGUGAAGAAGGCCUUCGGGUUGUAAAGCCCUUUUGUUGGGAAAGAAAAGCAGCAGGUUAAUACCCCGCUGUUCUGACGGUACCCAAAGAAUAAGCACCGGCUAACUUCGUG